RNAcentral lists this ribosomal RNA (375 nucleotides) under uncultured bacterium. Its description in RNAcentral is "bacterial SSU rRNA". It matches the Rfam family "Bacterial small subunit ribosomal RNA", at positions 521 to 896 of the family's 1533-position model. The record is from RNAcentral.
UAAUACGUAGGUGGCAAGCGUUAUCCGGAAUUAUUGGGCGUAAAGCGCGCGCAGGCGGUCUCUUAAGUCUGAUGUGAAAGCCCACGGCUCAACCGUGGAGGGUCAUUGGAAACUGGGAGACUUGAGUGCAGGAGAGAAAAGUGGAAUUCCACGUGUAGCGGUGAAAUGCGUAGAGAUGUGGAGGAACACCAGUGGCGAAGGCGGCUUUUUGGCCUGUAACUGACGCUGAGGCGCGAAAGCGUGGGGAGCAAACAGGAUUAGAUACCCUGGUAGUCCACGCCGUAAACGAUGAGUGCUAGGUGUUGGGGGGUUCCACCCUCAGUGCUGAAGUUAACACAUUAAGCACUCCGCCUGGGGAGUACGACCGCAAGGUUG